UACGGGGGGUGCGAGCGUUGUCCGGAAUCACUGGGCGUAAAGCGCACGUAGGCGGCUUCUUAAGUCGGUGGUGAAAUCCUGGAGCUCAACUCCAGAACUGCCUUCGAUACUGGGAAGCUCGAGUCCGGGAGAGGUGAGUGGAACUGCGAGUGUAGAGGUGAAAGUCGUAGAUAUUCGCAAGAACACCAGUGGCGAAGGCGGCUCACUGGCCCGGUACUGACGCUGAGGUGCGAAAGCGUGGGGAGCAAACAGG
RNAcentral lists this ribosomal RNA (253 nucleotides) under uncultured bacterium. Its description in RNAcentral is "partial 16S ribosomal RNA". It matches the Rfam family "Bacterial small subunit ribosomal RNA", at positions 524 to 776 of the family's 1533-position model. The record is from RNAcentral.